RNAcentral lists this ribosomal RNA (403 nucleotides) under uncultured bacterium. RNAcentral's name for it is "bacterial SSU rRNA". It matches the Rfam family "Bacterial small subunit ribosomal RNA", at positions 355 to 776 of the family's 1533-position model. The record is from RNAcentral.
UGGGGAAUUUUGCACAAUGGGGGCAACCCUGAUGCAGCGACGCCGCGUGAACGAAGACGGUCUUCGGAUUGUAAAGUUCUGUCCUGGGUGAAGAAAAAGACGGUAAUCCAGGAGGAAGCCCCGGCUAACUACGUGCCAGCAGCCGCGGUAAUACGUAGGGGGCGAGCGUUGUCCGGAAUUAUUGGGCGUAAAGGGUGCGUAGGCGGUUUUUUAAGUUUGUCGUGAAAGCCCGGGGCUUAACCCCGGUAAGCGAUGAAAACUGGAAGACUUGAGUGAUGGAGAGGAACGUGGAAUUCCUGGUGUAGCGGUGAAAUGCGUAGAGAUCAGGAGGAAUACCAGUGGCGAAGGCGACGUUCUGGACAUUAACUGACGCUGAGGCACGAAAGCGUGGGGAGCAAACAGG